GAAUGGAGCUCAUCUGCUCAGGUCCAUAGAGAGCCCUGUCAGCCACACCAGGGGUGACAAAGCAAUGUUUAACCUAAUUUCAGCCAAUAUGCAGCAAUGUUUGUAAUAACCAGCUGUCAGAGAAGCAGAAUAACACACAGGAAAACAGAGAGGAGGGAAACACAGGAGGAGGAGGAAGGAGAAGCAGACCAAGUGCUGCCUUGGGCCCAGGUACAAAGGAAGAAGUGAUCCUCACAAGCCUGUCUUGGUGGCAGUGUGGAAUUCACAAUCCAAGCUUCAGACUGGGAGACUGAAGAACAUUUCAGUACCCAGGAACUUUUCCCUGUACAAGUGCCUGUAAAGAACUCCAAGCUUCCAAGUCACCCUUCCUUCCCCAGUUACCCAGUGUCCAUAAAACCUGCAGUUAUCCAGUUUCAGAUGUGUAAAUGCUCUUAAUCUCAAAUGAAAUUAGCACCAUAAAGAGCCAGGGGCCUGGGAAUUGCUUCAACAAAAGUCAAUCCAUUAUGUUCAUCCACACUUUUAUCAAUCAAAGCCUCAGUCUCAAAGAAUAAAACUAAU
Molecule: long non-coding RNA, 558 nt
Organism: Passer domesticus (house sparrow)
Lineage: Eukaryota; Metazoa; Chordata; Aves; Passeriformes; Passeridae
Exons: 4
Source: RefSeq, a predicted model, not a curated record